UGACCGUCUGAUCAAGCCCUAAUUUGGAUAAAAUGUAGAGAAGGUAAUCAGAUUUCUAACGUAAUUGGAUUGGGCACAAUCCAACGGUUAGAUCAUAAGAUAUCUCCAAUUUACUGAAGACAUGUUAUGCAGUCUUGCGUAAGAAUAAAGAGAAGAAUUGAAGAUUUGACCUCAAAGGCCAACAUCUGCAGUUCAAAGGGGUCAUGCCCGCUGUAAACACCCUCUUGUCCGCGCCUCCAGUCCUAUACCCAUGGUUGAACCAUGUUUUACAAGUCCCAAAGAGUCUUCAUCCAUGGCAAGCCCAAUCGUGGCCCUAAGGUCCAUUUUCAAGCCCAAC
Molecule: long non-coding RNA, 337 nt
Filed under: Eutrema salsugineum
Lineage: Eukaryota; Viridiplantae; Streptophyta; Magnoliopsida; Brassicales; Brassicaceae
Description: long non-coding RNA (ESAL_LNC001319)
Source: RNAcentral